RNAcentral lists this unclassified non-coding RNA (322 nucleotides) under Stropharia sp. RNAcentral describes it as "partial internal transcribed spacer region". The stretch from base 1 to 46 matches the Rfam family "Eukaryotic small subunit ribosomal RNA", at positions 1786 to 1831 of the family's 1831-position model. The record is from RNAcentral. Lineage: Eukaryota; Fungi; Basidiomycota; Agaricomycetes; Agaricales; Strophariaceae.
AAGUCGUAACAAGGUUUCCGUAGGUGAACCUGCGGAAGGAUCAUUAUUGAAUUAAAAUCUGGCUUGGUUGUUGCUGGUCUUUUGCGAGACAUGUGCACGCCUCGUCAUUUUUAUAUUACCACCUGUGCACCUUUUGUAGACUUGAACAACAUUUUUUCCGAGGUAACUCGGUCGUGAGGAAUUGCUUAUAAAAUGGCUCUCCUUGAAUGUUAUUCAAGCCUAUGUUUUCAUAUACACCAUAAGCAUGUAAUAGAAUGUAGUUAUUAGACUUUAAUGUCUUAUAAACUUUAUACAACUUUCAGCAACGGAUCUCUUGGCUCUC